ACAUAGAUUAUGAUCAUGGCUCAGAAUUGAACGCUGGCGGCNUGGCCUAACACAUGCAAGUCGAGCGGAUGACGGGAGCUUGCUCCUUGAUUCAGCGGCGGACGGGUGAGUAAUGCCUAGGAAUCUGCCUGGUAGUGGGGGACAACGUUUCGAAAGGAACGCUAAUACCGCAUACGUCCUACGGGAGAAAGCAGUGUGACCUUCGGGCCUUGCGCUAUACAGAUGAGCCUAGGUCGGAUUAGCUAGUUGGUGAGGUAAUGGCUCACCAAGGCGACGAUCCGUAACUGGUCUNGAGAGGAUGAUCAGUCAACACUGGAACUGAGGACACGGUCCAGACUCCUACG
RNAcentral lists this ribosomal RNA (344 nucleotides) under uncultured bacterium. RNAcentral describes it as "bacterial SSU rRNA". It matches the Rfam family "Bacterial small subunit ribosomal RNA", at positions 1 to 343 of the family's 1533-position model. The record is from RNAcentral.